GGCAGUGUAGGGGAGAGGCAGUAGUAGUAGCGACUAGCGAGGAAGGAAGAGAAGAGGAGAUUCAGGGAAGAGAAGGAAACGAUGUAAAAAGAGCAAGAACAUUUGAUAGUGUAGAGAUGGUAUCGAAACGGAGAUGGCGAGUGACUCAAGUGAGGAGGAGGGAGUUGAGAAAAAGGUAGAUGUCAAAAUGAUAGUCCGGUUUGCUGAGGAGGGAGGUAUAGGAAAAAUGAACCCGUUAAAGCUAACAAAGGAGUUGACAGGAAAGUGCGGUGAUAUAAAGUUUGCUAGGGUUUUAGGAGAUGGAAAUCUGUUGAUUGGUUGCUCGGAUGAGCUUCAGGUAGUUCUGACAAAUAAUCUAACAAUGGUUGGUGUUAACAAAGUGGUGCAGGUUGGAUUGCAGAGAGAGAAACGUUGCAAAGGGGUGAUAACAGGAAUCUCUCUGGAUAUUGAGGAGCAGGAGAUUAAAGAGAACUUGAUGGCCAAAGGCAUAGAAGUGAUUAGUAUUAAGAGGAUGGCAAGGGGCCCUGAAAAGGAAAUGAGUGAAUCUGUAUUGGUGGAGCUUAAAGGAGAAGUAUUACCAGAUAGAGUAUUUCUAGGGUUCCUGUGUUUCUAUGUGAGGGCUUACAUACCUAAGCCAAUGAGGUGCUUUCAGUGUCAAAGAUUUGGGCACAUCGCUAAAAUCUGUAAGGAAAAGAGGUGUGCGAAAUGCUCAGGGGAUCAUGAGUAUGGGAAGUGUGAGGGGGCCAAGUUAAAAUGUUGUAGUUGUGGGGGUGAACAUGUCGUCAAUUUUGGAGGCUGUGAAUUAAUGAAAGAGGAAGUUGCAGUUCAGAAGGUAAAAGUGAUGGACAAAGUGACCUAUGCAGAGGCAGUGAAAGUGGUAAAACAGAGGCACGGUGCUAAGAGUCAGGGGUUGGUAGCAGCCUGGGGAGGCGGAAGGUAAGUGACAAGGGAGUCGGUGGGAGAGAAGCAAGAUAGGAAUAAAGUGUGGGUAGAUAAGAAGCAGGUGGUGAUUUUUGUUGCAGCAGUGAUAAACUCCACUAGAGACUCCACAUCAAAGACAACGAGCAUACAGAUAAUAGCUAAGGCAGCCAAGGAUUAUUUGGGGAUGGAAGGGUUAAAAUGGGACCUUUGGUAGCCGAAAUAAAUACACAAGAGUAGUCGGGAGCCGGUGAGAAAACAUCAUAACCAUGGUGAAAAUUCUACAGUGGAAUGCUAGGAGCUUGGUGGCAAUGGCCGGGAGUUUAAAUAUUUUUUAAGUCAAAUGAAAGGAAAACCACAAGUAAUAUGCAUUCAAGAAACGUUUUUGAAACCAGUGUUAGAUUUUGUUAUAUAUGGAUAUGUAUGUAUAAGAAGAGACAGGAGUGAAGGUGAAGGGGCUGGUGGAGGGUGUGUAACAUUUAUCAAGCAAGGUAUAUCAUACAGGGUAUUGGAUAUUGGAACGGAACAAGAGUAUAGUGGUGGAGGUAUGGGAGGGGGGAGAUGAGUUUGUUGUUGUUAAUUACUAUAAUCCAUGCCAAAGGUUAGAGAAUGAUAAACUAGUUAGGAUUAAAGGUAUAGAAAGACACAGGAUAAUAUGGUGUGCAGACUUCGAUGCUCAUAACACAAUGUGGGGAGGGAAUCAUACAGACACGAAUGGGAAAGUGAUUGAAGAGUUAAUGGAGGACAAUAAUCUUGUUUGUUUGAAUGAUGGGAGGGAGACAAGGAUGGAUAUAAGAACAAGUAAUGAGUCUGGUUGGAUCUGACGUUGGUGUCAGUACGUUUGGCAGGGAUCAGUAACUGGGAGGUUUUGACAGGUAAAUCUUUAGGUAGUGACCACUAUGUGUUAGUUUGUUCAGUAGGAGGAGAAGUGAAUGUUGGAAAUGGAAUUCAGAAAUGGGUGUAUAGUAAAGCAGAAUGGGGUACAUUUAAGUUGGUCAGUGAAGAAGUUAUUGUUUCAGUUGUUACUAGUGGAGAUAUAGAUACAGUAAAUAACAGUGUUACAUCAGCAAUUAUUGCUGCAGCAAGCAAAUCUAUUCCAAGAAGUAAAAAUAGAAGGGAUAGGAAGUUAGUUCCUUGGUGAACAGAGGAGUGUUCCAAGGCAGUUAAAGCCCGAAACAAAGCAUUUAAGUCAAAAGAGAGCAUAAUACACAAAGUCUGGUGGAGUAUCAGAGGGCACAGGCACUGGUAAAGAGAGUUACAAAGAGAACACAGAGGGUAAGCUGGAGACAGUUUUGUGGUAAGAUAGGAAGAACAACACCAAUAGGAGAAGUGUGGGGAAUGAUAAGGAAGAUGGGAGGAGAAAGAAGGGAGUGGGAGUACCCAGUGAUUACGUUAGAGGAGAAAACUGCAAUAUGUGAUAAAGAUAAGGCUGAUUUGAUGGCCAAAUCUUUUGCUAAGGUGCAUAGUGUUGAUCAGUUGACAGUGGAAGGGAGAAGAGAAGUUACUUCGAGUAAUUCUCCUGAUGUGCUAGUUAGGAGAGUAGAUUCUAGGGAGAAAAUAGAUGAUGGAUUUACAAUGGCAGAGCUUGUGAGAGCAAUUAAAAAAGCAAAGCCCUCAGCUCCAGGGGGAGAUCAGGUGAGCUAUGUAAUGUUAAAACAUCUAGGAGAAAGAGGAAUGGAAAAAUUGUUAGAACUAUAUAAUAGAGUAGGGGUGGAGGGAAAGUUACCAAGUGUAUGGAAGGAAGCGGUGGUGAUUCCGAUUAGGAAACCAGGGAAAGAUCCAGGUAAACCUUCUAGUUAUAGGCCAAUAGCAUUAACGUCUAACAUAUGUAAAAUAAUGGAGAGAUUGGUGACCGAAAGGUUAACGUAUGAGCUUGAGAAGAAAGGGUUGUUGACAAGUGGUCAAAGUGGUUUCAGAAAAGGGAGACAUACAAUGGAUGCAGUGGUAAGGCUUGAAAAUGAGAUACGGAAAGCACAGGCAAACAAAGAGUCAGUGGUGGUAGUGUUUUUUGAUAUCGAAAAAGCAUAUGACAUGAUGUGGAAGGAAGGUUUGUUAAUUAAGUUGUACAAGAUGGGGGUAGGUGGAAGGGUUUUUAACUGGAUAAAGAAUUUUUUGUUUGACAGAAAAAUACAAGUCCGGAUUGGGUCUGAAUUGUCAAAUAAGUAUAUGGUGGGGAAUGGCACUCCCCAAGGAAGUGUAAUUAGUCCUUUAUUGUUUAUAAUCAUGAUAAAUGAUGUUUUUUCAAAGGUACCAGAGGAUAUAGGAAGUUCUCUGUUUGCAGACGAUGGGGCUUUGUGGAAAAGGGAAAGAAAUGUGAUGCAUAUUAUUAGUGAAGUCCAGUCUGCAAUUGAUGGGGUGACAGAGUGGGGAUUUGACUGGGGGUGCAGAUUUUCGGUAGAGAAAACUCAAACUGUAUUUUUCACUAGGAAAAGAAUUGAGGAUGGGAUGAAAUUGAGGAUGUAUGAGAAAGAGUUGGAAAGAGUUGGCUCAUUUAAAUAUUUGGGAGUUAUUUUUGAUUCUAGGGUAACAUGAGCAGACCAUAUUAGGAAGAUAGAGGAUAAAUGCAAAAAGGUAAUAAAUGUGAUGAGAUGUUUGACUGGUAGGGAUUGGGGAGCGAGCUGUUCAGCUUUAAAGACUAUAUAUUAUGUAGCUAUGAUUAGAUCUGUGUUUGAUUAUGGGUGUAUAGUGUAUGGGUCAGCCGCAGUGUCUCUCUUGAGAAAGCUGGACGUGAUUCAGGCUAAGGCAUUAAGGGUAUGCAGUGGGGCUUUUAAAUCCUCACCAGUGCCUGCUCUGCAGGUAGAAAUGGGGGAAAUGCCACUGGAGUUGAGAAGGAAACAAUUGAUGGGGAACUAUUGGGCUAAUCUGCGAGGGCACAGUGAGUCUCACCCCACAAAAGGAGUGUUGAAAGAGUGCUGGGUUUAUGGGAAGUGUGAGAGGAAUCAUUUUGGUCGGGUGGGGAAUGAUAUAGCGAAAGAUUUUGGUGUGGGUGAAUUGAAGCUUAGUCCAACAGUGGUAUAUCCAUUAAUGCCGCCAUGGAGGAUGGUGUGGCCAGAGGUGGACUGGUUUGUGUUGGAGAUAAAGAAGAGAGAGAGAGAGAACAGAUAGACCUGGCUAGUGUUUUUAAUAUUCAUCUUCUUAUAGAGUACAGUGAGUAUGUUCAUGUUUUUACAGAUGGUGCCAAACAACCUGAGACAGGAGUGACAGGGUUUGGAGUAGUUGGUCCAUCAAAAAGAAUAGAGUUUAAUAGAAGAACAUCAGAUAAUUUAAGCGUUUAUACAGUGGAGAUGUUGGGGGUGCUGGUCGCAUUAAAAUGGGUGGAAUCAAGUACAGUUGAAAAAAUUGUGAUCUGUACAUAUUCAGCAUCAGUUUUGGCAAGUAUGAGGUCUUUUUAUUCAAGUAGUCACUAAGGUUUGUUAUAUGAAGUUCUACAGUCAACUACGAGAAUCAUUCAGCAGGGGAGGCAAAUACAUUUUUUAUGGGUUCCAGCUCAUGUAGGGGUGAAGGGAAAUGAGAAAGCCGAUAAGAUGGCGAAGAAGGCAUUGGAGAAGGAAAAAGUAUAAAUGAAUAUCAGUUUAAGUAAGGCAGAAGUUAAAAGCCUGAUAUGGGGAAAAGUUAACAAAAUGUGGCAAGACAAAUGGGACAGUGAGGAGAAAGGGAGAUAUUUAUAUAAUAUUCAAAAAAGUGUUAAUGUUAAAAUAAGGUAUAGUGGUCAGAGGAAGGAUGAACACAUUUUGAUAAGGUUAAGGUUGGGGCACAGUGCACUAAAUAAAACAAUGAAUUUGAUAGGAAAACACCCCACAGGAUUAUGUGAGGGGUGCCAGGUAGAGGAGGCAGUGGAACAUGUUUUAAUGAACCGUAGUGGUUAUGGGAUGGAGAGGGAAAGUAUGAAAAAUCAAUUGAGAGAAUUGGGUAUGCAGGAGUAUACUUUGGAAAAUAUUUUAAGAUUAAUGAAGAGGAAUUGUAUAAAAGUAUUGUUUGGCUUUUUGAGAGAAACAGGGUUAUAUGAUAGGAUAUAGAGUAGAAAGAAGGUGUGAAUGAGUGAGUGUUUGGAUAUUUUUGUUUUGAUUCAUUAACUGGAUCAGAAGAGGGCGGUAAUGCAACAAGUUGUGGAUGCCCACCGCCGUAAAACCCCAAGAAGAAGAAGAAGAAGACGGAUGCAGGAACCGGAAACACGCUCCUCACACGUGUGUCUACGUCCGUGGUGUGGAAACAGAGUCGAGUGUACUUGUAACAGUUUGUAAUUUAUCUUUCUUUAUAUAAAUAGCACGCUGAGGCAGUGCACGAAGUUUUCGGGUCAACAUGAAAACCCCGGGAGAGUGUGUUACGACUGAAAUAUCAGAGCCCGAGUUAACAGAAGAGCCCGAAAGCACGCAGGACGUGGAUAAAGUUACACGGACUCGUAGCGGACGCAGGGUCCGCACGCCAGCCCUCUUGGCCGACUCUCAGGUCCCUAGUCCAGCAAAGCCCUCCACACGCAGGACGAGGAAAUCUGUUAUUUCUUUGGAUAAAGGAAAUUCGGAGGAAGGACACACCAUGACGAGUAUAUCAGAGGCGCCCGUAGGAGAGUCUACAGAUUCCCCCAUAAUGCUUGAAAACGAGUCCAAUAAAUCAGAAGGACGUAUAGAAACGGUCCCUAGUACGAUGGAAACGGCCCCCGUACACCCCGGUGAAAAGCCCCAGGAGGCGGCUCUAUUUGUCCCGGGAACGAAACAGACCACGGCAUCACAGAUACCUCUGGGAAAACCGAAAUCGGGUCGAGUAUGGAAGGACCGGAAUAAACAAAGGUUCUCUGCAGUGGUCAGGGAUAAGCCCCUGCGUACUUCUUGGGGAAAAAAGAUGGCAGCCAAACAAGAGCAGCAGUUGGUCAAAAAGUUCUCCCUUCAACUUAAACAAGACAAAGCCAAAGAGAAAGAGGACAAGAGGAAACGGACGGAGGAAACAUUGAAACGACGUGCUGAGAAUGAGCGCAAGUCAGAGAUUGUUCAAGUGAUCCGGAAUACAUCAAAGAUAAAGAGGAUGAAGAAGAAACAGCUGAGGAAAGUUGAGAAGAGGGAUACAUUGGCCAUACUGCAGAAGACCCAAAAUGAGAAGGCAAAGGGUCAGCGUAGCCGGAAAGAAAAAGUUGUUGAUAAAUAAUGCGGUAGCCAAAAAUCUGUGCUCCGUCAGUAACUUCUAUUCCAUUGAUGCUGUUCUUUUUUGAUAAAAUGAAGCUUAUAUUUCAGUGCAUUUAUCUAAAUACAUUAAAAAAAUGCUCAAUAAGAAA
Molecule: RNA transcript, 6181 nt
Organism: Gadus morhua (Atlantic cod)
Lineage: Eukaryota; Metazoa; Chordata; Actinopteri; Gadiformes; Gadidae
Gene: ccdc86
Gene name: coiled-coil domain containing 86
Exons: 4
Source: RefSeq, a predicted model, not a curated record